CCUACGGGUGGCUGCAGUGAGGAAUAUUGGUCAAUGGGCUUACGCCUGAUCCAGCCAAGUCGCGUGAGGGAAGACUGCCCUAUAGGUUGUAAACCUCUUUUGUCAGGGAGCAACACCGGCUACCUGCAUUCGGACGGAACGUACCUGAAGAACAAGCCUCGGCUAACUGCGGGCACGCAGCCGAGGUAAUACGGAGGAAGCGAGCGUUAUACGGAUUUCUUGGGUGUGAAGGGAGCGUAGAUGGGGUGUUAAGUCAGUUGUUCAAGUUACCGGCUGAACCGUCAAAUUGUAAUUGAUACUGUGAGGCUUGAGUGCAGUUGAGGUAAGCGGAAGUCGUGGUGUAGCGGUGAAAUGCGUAGAUAUCACGAAGAACCCCGAUGGCGAAGGCAGCUUACUAAACUGUGACUGACAUUGAUGCUCGAAAGUGUGGGUAGCAAACAGGAUUAGAUACCCCGGUAGUC
Molecule: ribosomal RNA, 461 nt
Filed under: uncultured bacterium
Lineage: Bacteria
Description: partial 16S ribosomal RNA
Rfam family: Bacterial small subunit ribosomal RNA
Source: RNAcentral